GGAUAGAGAGGGCCUUGAGGUGAUUGACGAGGGAAUGGAUCCUCCAAGGUAUUUCAAAAAUAUUGUAGGACGCUAUGUAUAGCUGGACAUCAUCCAUCAUAAGCUGGACAAUCACGCAUACAUGUUAAAAUAUUAGAAAAAAAAAUUUAUAAAUCUCAAGAGGUAUUUGGAUAAUUUAGACAGAACGUGCACAUCCGUCUAUCUUAUGAUGGAUGGCACCUAACAUACACACCAGCAUCCUACGGUACUUUUUGAGUACCGCAGAGAAUUCCAUUUUGAUUGGUGGAUGAUGGAGAGGAGAUAGAAGGUAUGAAGAGGUACACUAAAGAGUUAAGAAAAAUGGCAAAGA
RNAcentral lists this long non-coding RNA (349 nucleotides) under Elaeis guineensis (African oil palm). Its description in RNAcentral is "long non-coding RNA (EGUI_LNC062393)". The record is from RNAcentral. Lineage: Eukaryota; Viridiplantae; Streptophyta; Magnoliopsida; Arecales; Arecaceae.